UGUAUCAGAAGUCGGACAGAGAGAGGGAGAGAGAGAAAAGGCGAGAGCUCUGGUAAUGAGGGAACUGAAAGCAAUGUGGGCAAUGUAAUAUUUUGCUUUAAAUAGGCACAGGGAACACAGAGGCAUGGGUGAGGGCUCAUUUAGGCUUAGGUGUAAGGGUGGACAACAGAAAGUGAUCUACUAAACGUAAUCUUUCUUAUUGUGAGGUACACGCGGUGCGCAUGCAAGUGAAUUUGCUGCAACGUAGCAUUUGCUAGCUGGCAAUCUGUCCUUUUCCUGCCGAUGUGUAGUUGAAGAUAUAAAAGUUAGAUCAUCAUGAUUAAAUGUCAUUUGUUCUUACAUUAAUUAUUGGUAUACGACAUUCUGGUUGAGUGUUAGAGAUAGAGUUCAAUUGCGAUGUGGUUUCCGAGGUCAUCUAUAAUGCGUUUUAGGUGUAACGUCCCUUGUUUUCUGGCCUCCUGUUUUCAUUUCCCCCUAUUUCACCGAUAAAUAUAUUGGAAUUAAUUUUAGUCCCUUGAUUUAGUAUUUUACUAUUGACGUUGGCAUCUAUGAGUCAGUCAACAUCGAGUAUUUAUGUAAAAAUAGAUUAAAAAGAAGGGGGGAGGAAAUACAUGCCAGAUUUUAGUAUAAUCUAAAGUUUAGUUAAUCGUAAAUAUUUAAAUAGGUUUUAUAGUUUAUAAAAUCUGCCAAAGGCGAUCGUCAUUACUUGCAUGAAUACAACUCAAUUUUUGUCUUUUCACUAUGAAGUUGCUGGAAUAAUGCUCUUACUUUUCUUAAAUCUAAUCUAUAAGGACAAUAUUGAAAUUUUAUCAAAAUAAGUAGUAAAUUAAAGUUUGUUCUGCAAAUAUAUUAACUCUUAUAUUAACAAUUUAAAGCUGAAUUUCAAUAGCAAAUGACAAUUGUAGGAAUUUUUUUUCUCCGUUUUUUUUGUUUUUAUUUUUAAUUUCGGUUUGUAAUUUAAUAGCAAAAUAGUUUCAUCUAUUUGAAUUAUUUCCUUUUGUGUUAUAAAAUCUAGUUUGCAUGUGAUCUCAAUUUAACAUUUAAGUUGAAUGAAACAGGAACUCGAAUACAUUACAUCGUAGUUGUUCAACUUGCAUGGCCUAGCAAAUAACCGUGACAUAUGAAGCAUGAAGCCUGUGGAGUAAGUCUUUACAUUGUUAUGGUCGCAAUUUUCUUGCCAUAACUCGAUUUCUGUAGUUCUUUGAAAUGGUUACAUUAUAUCCUCCUACAUUCAUAGUGUCACAUUUUCCCCCAUUGUUUAGUAGCCACUACUUGUGUAUUGAGUAGCCAUGCUCAUAAAAUUUCCUCGUUUUUUUACGCGUCUUGUGUAAAUUUACUUUAUCACUGUUCUUCUAUGUGAUCUCUUUGAAUUUUCAGUAGUCAGAAUAUUUUCAUUGAUCAAACAUUGCAUGAUAUCAUAUUACAUUGUUUCACACUAGCUUUAAGCAUUUUAAAUAUGCAACAAGGACCUAUAUCUUGGAGGUCACAGUAGGUAUGUAGGUGAUGCAUUGUGCGAUCUACAAUAUGUCGACUCCAACCUACUUUUUCAUUUACGGCUUUUCCUUAAUUGGAGUCUGGUAUAUAUUGGAAUACUUUCUACCCGAUUGAAGCUGAAGAGGGUGAUAGACACAACAUUUACUGAAUACAUUCUAGUGGUUAUUUGAAGUUAAAAUAGCUACUAUACAUAUAUUAGCUAUUUUUAUCUGGCAUUGACCACCAGAUUGUCAACACGUCGGUAUGAUUAACUUUUAGGUUAGGUGAAAUUCCUUUUCAAUUUAACAAGAGUUUUCAACAUAGAACCUUUAUGACAUUCCUGAACUCUCCAAUACUAUUUCCCCAAGUAUAAGCAUGUGGUCCAUCAUGAACCUCAACCGAAGUUCAGCUUCCAAGAAAAGGGUCUACAAUAUAUACGAAACAUGCAGCACUCUCUCCCAAGCAACUGAACUCUAUUCUACUUGUAUGAAAAACAUUGGGCAGUCGAAUAUAUCUCUUGACGUCAUACAUUAGCAUUAAGCUUAAUACGAGAGAUAUUUUCAAUAUGGUGUGCAUAGCCCUCAGUAACCAAAUCCAGAGACUUAGUAGCACGUCUGCCACUCCAUAUCAUCGUGCAUUGAAUAUUCUCUCACAAGUCACAACAAUGACACCAGAAUUUGUGGAAGAACAUUUGUCCUUGUUACAGUCAUCGGUACGAGGCAUGUCAAUUGUAGUUAAUAGCCUCUCCUGAUCUCGUAUUUAGCUACAUUCUUGGCGGGAAUUUCGGAAUGUAAUGGCAGAAUUGAUUAUAAUAAAUACUGAUGGUAACAACCUUGUAUAUUUCUGAAAUUUUGCUUACUACUACGUUUCAUUUCCACUGCCAAA
Molecule: non-coding RNA, 2358 nt
Organism: Erythranthe guttata (spotted monkey flower)
Lineage: Eukaryota; Viridiplantae; Streptophyta; Magnoliopsida; Lamiales; Phrymaceae
Source: RefSeq, a predicted model, not a curated record